CCUACGGGAGGCUGCAGUGAGGAAUAUUGGUCAAUGGGCGGAAGCCUGAACCAGCCAAGUCGCGUGAGGGAAUAAGGCCCUACGGGUCGUAAACCUCUUUUGCCGGGGAGCAAGGGCGGGGACGUUGCCCGGCCCGGAGAGUACCCGGAGAAAAAGCAUCGGCUAAAUCCGGGCCAACAGCCGCGGUAAUACGGAGGUUGCGAGCGUUAACCGGAUUUAUUGGGUUAAAAGGGUGUGUAGUCGGGCUUGUAAGUCAGCGGUAAAAAUUCGGGGCUCAACCCCGUCCGGCCGUUGAAACUGGGGGCCUUGAGGGUGCGAGAAGAAAGCGGAAUGCGUGGUGUAGCGGUGAAAUGCAUAGAUAUCACGCAGAACCCCGAUUGCGAAGGCAGCCUUCCGGCGCCCUACUGACGCUGAGGCACGAAAGUGCGGGGAUCGAACAGGAUUAGAUACCCGUGUAGUC
Molecule: ribosomal RNA, 460 nt
Filed under: uncultured bacterium
Lineage: Bacteria
Description: partial 16S ribosomal RNA
Rfam family: Bacterial small subunit ribosomal RNA
Source: RNAcentral